UAGACGCCGACCAGCUACGAAAAGCGACCACUGACUGGAUCCUCAAACAACGUAAUUAUGGCACAAACGUCUUCGGUUGGGGCGACCACGGGUGAUAACAAAGCUCCCGAGUGGAUAGGGGGAUACCCUAAAACCCAGAGCCACAGCUCUAAGUCACAAAAUAUUUGACCAAUAAUGAUCCGGCUUUAUGCCGACCAACGGACCAAGUUACCCU
RNAcentral lists this ribosomal RNA (214 nucleotides) under Brevoortia environmental sample. Its description in RNAcentral is "partial 16S ribosomal RNA". Lineage: Eukaryota; Metazoa; Chordata; Actinopteri; Clupeiformes; Clupeidae. The record is from RNAcentral.